Molecule: long non-coding RNA, 686 nt
Filed under: Chlamydomonas reinhardtii
Lineage: Eukaryota; Viridiplantae; Chlorophyta; Chlorophyceae; Chlamydomonadales; Chlamydomonadaceae
Description: long non-coding RNA (CREI_LNC000273)
Source: RNAcentral
GGAGAUGGAGGCUCAGGGCUGGGAGGGGCCGGGCUGGGGGGCAGUGGCGAAGGCGGAUGCGGACUAGGCGGCAUCGGCGACGGCGGCUCCGGAGAUGGAGGCUCAGGGCUGGGAGGGGCCGGGCUGGGGGGCAGUGGCGAAGGCGGAUGCGGACUAGGCGGCAUCGGUGACGGCGGCUCCGGAGAUGGAGGCUCAGGGCUGGGAGGGGCCGGGCUGGGGGGCAGUGGCGAAGACAGAUGCGGACUAGGCGGCAUCGGCGACGGCGGCUCCGGAGAUGGAGGCUCAGGGCUGGGAGGGGCCGGGCUGGGGGGCAGUGGCGAAGACAGAUGCGGACUAGGCGGCAUCGGUGACGGCGGCUCCGGAGAUGGAGGCUCAGGGCUGGGAGGGGCCGGGCUGGGGGGCAGAGGCGAAGGCGGAUGCGGACUAGGCGGCAUCGGCGACGGCGGCUCCGGAGAUGGAGGCUCAGGGCUGGGAGGGGCCGGGCUGGGGGGCAGUGGCGAAGGCGGAUGCGGACUAGGCGGCAUCGGCGACGGCGGCUCCGGAGAUGGAGGCUCAGGGCUGGGAGGGGCCGGGCUGGGGGGCAGAGGCGAAGGCGGAUGCGGACUAGGCGGCAUCGGCGACGGCGGCUCCGGAGAUGGAGGCUCAGGGCUGGGAGGGGCCGGGCUGGGGGGCAGUGGCGAAGGCGG